RNAcentral lists this ribosomal RNA (468 nucleotides) under uncultured bacterium. Its description in RNAcentral is "partial 16S ribosomal RNA". It matches the Rfam family "Bacterial small subunit ribosomal RNA", at positions 28 to 507 of the family's 1533-position model. The record is from RNAcentral.
GACGAACGCUGGCGGCGUGCUUAACACAUGCAAGUCGAACGGAAAGUCCCUGCUUUUGUGUUGUGCUCGAGUGGCGAACGGGUUAGUAACACAUGAGUAACCUGCCCUUGACUUUGGGAUAACUUCAGGAAACUGGGGCUAAUACCGGAUAGGAGCUCCUGCUGCAUGUUGGGGGUUGGAAAGUUUCUGCGGUUGGGGAUGGACUCGCGGCUUAUCAGCUUGUUGGUGGGGUAGUGGCUUACCAAGGCUUUGACGGGUAGCCGGCCUGAGAGGGUGACCGGCCACAUUGGGACUGAGAUACGGCCCAGACUCCUACGGGAGGCAGCAGUGGGGAAUAUUGCACAAUGGGCGGAAGCCUGAUGCAGCAACGCCGCGUGCGGGAUGACGGCCUUCGGGUCGUAAACCGAUUUCGCCUGUGACGAAGCGUGAGUGACGGUAAUGGGUAAAGAAGCACCGGCUAACUACGUG